This 82-nucleotide ribosomal RNA is filed under the name Planctomycetota bacterium. Its description in RNAcentral is "Planctomycetes bacterium partial 23S ribosomal RNA". It matches the Rfam family "Bacterial large subunit ribosomal RNA", at positions 2844 to 2925 of the family's 2925-position model. Lineage: Bacteria; Pseudomonadati; Planctomycetota. The record is from RNAcentral.
ACUAUCAGGUUGAUAGGCCGGGUGUGUAAGCGCAGAAAUGCGUUCAGCUAACCGGUACUAACGCUCGAUUACUUGACCAUAU